This is a long non-coding RNA of Gallus gallus (chicken), 10475 nucleotides long. RefSeq lists it as uncharacterized. The transcript has 3 exons. The record is from RefSeq and is a predicted model, not a curated record. Lineage: Eukaryota; Metazoa; Chordata; Aves; Galliformes; Phasianidae.
GACAUCCACUGAAAACAGAAUUGCUGCCUCCAGCUCACAGGACAUGCUGAGAACUGCUUUGAUGGAUACUCUUCAUCUAGCUGCAGCUAUUGCUGCAGCUUUGAUGGAUGCUGAUAUUGGGCAACAGGGAUAUUAUGGAGGAGGAAAAGCCUCACAUUAACACAAUACAGCAGUGCAUAAAGGCUUCAAAACCAGCUGUACUGCUCAACUUGGAAGCAAAGAGGAAGAGCUGAUCUUGGUGAGAAGAAAAAGCCACUACAUGCUGUAAGAAGAAACAAUUUAGCUGAGGAUUCAAACUAAGGAUGAUGACUAUGGGGUUCUUUUACCAGGCUGUAUCCUGUACCGGGAAAGGCUCAAAAUCUCCAGUAUUCACAUCAUCUUUUAAGACCUCCAUAAUACAAAUACAGAAGCACCUUCAAAUCACUCUGACUAUGCAUUAGGGAUUAGGACAGAACCCAGCUUGAAUGCAAACUUCUCCUCCCCUGCUACACUCCCUGAGCACCCCCAUUUGCUUGGCUCAGCCAUCCCCCACAUUCCAUCACACAUCAGUAUGGCCUUAACUCUGGGGCAAAGAUUUCCCUUACCACACAUCUGAGCAAAAUCCUGAACUCCAGGGUCCUGAUUCUUUGUGACCACUCCCUCAGGAGCCACCUCCAUGGACAUCAACAGUUAUUAAUCACCAACAAAUCUAUUCAGUUCCUAGAUCCCAUGUGUAUGUACACACACAUGUGUAUGUUAGAAGGAAAGACAGAAGAACUCUUCCUGAUCUUUUUGUUUGCAAAGCCACUGGAGAUAUUUCAGUUCAUCUGAGCAGCACCAAGAUGAAGAUGAAGUAAUGCAAACAUGCCAACUCUUCUUAGUUUUAAUCCUUUUCCCAACUCCUUUUUCUAAUGCGCAAUGUCAUUUUGCACCUAAGUGAACCCUCGCAAUGUCAUGGAGUCUAUCUUGCAGAAAAUGUCAAAAUAUUCUAACUCACAGAACUUGGAAGUACUAAAGUUCAAAAGCUAAGAAACUGCACUGCUGAUUCUGAGCCCAGAAAAUGGUUCCUGGGACUUCAGUGAGCACAAGUGUCACUUGAACAAGGAUGGUUUCCCACUUAUCUGAAGGAAAACACUUGGAAGCCAUCAGUAUGGAGAUGAUAAGCAUGGAGACGCUGUUCUGUCUGAACAUCAUCAUCUCAUCUCAUGAAGAAAGCAGGAGAAAAAAGUCCUAUACUCUAGGAAAUGAGAGCUGGAAAUUGCAAUGCAAAUUAUGCUGCUUUACCACCUCUAAUGUGCCUUUCAAGGACCACUCACAUCGUGGCUGCCACUGGACAGGGCCCAUCACCUCCAUGCCAUGCAUAUCCACAGUGAACAACAGCAGGAGCCAGCAGGCUCCCUCUAUCAGACUGGGUGCAUAAAUCCCAGGCUGCAAAUCUCAUUUUCUUAUCAGAAUUUAUUUUCCUUCAGGCUAAAUCCUUCACCAUCUUUUCUCUGACUCUCAUCAUAUGUAAAUGUCAAAGGGUCAUAUAACAAAACAGUGAGAUGGAAAGUAAUGAGGACAGAAACAUUUCCUAACCAGGGUGGUGCUGCCUGCAGACUGUCCUAGACCAGAAGUGUUUUCCUCCUCGCUGUCUUUCAGCAUAAAGAGAGAAGCACUGUGCAAAUGUAUGGGUGAUGAGCAAGCGAAUACUGAGAUGCUAAAUGAUUUUAAUGACUGGCUUUCACCCAGACUAUGCUUUGCUUGCGGUGUCCAUCCGGUUAGGAAUAAUGUAUCCUUCCCUUGGAAAACAGAAGGUAAAGUGCUGCUGAUCUUCUGGAUUCACUGAAUCCUGGGAAGUGCAGAUUGUUCUCUUCUAAUUCAAAGAUUUGGAAGCAAUCAAUUUUCUAGCACAUACUCAGAGACAUAAAAGAGCAGAGUUAUGUUUCUGUAUUCGAAUAUAACCUUUUUGCUGAAAAGAUCUUUUGAACACCCCCCCCACUUUGGGCAUUUGGAUUUCUACACUUCCAGACUGAAGCAGAUGGAGAUUAAGUGACAUGCUUAAAAUGCCCAGAAAUUUUCAUUUAGCAAUUAUCGAAGAGUUUUGAGGACUAGUACAAAACAUUCUGAAGAAACCACGGAAAGGCCAAUGCUUCUGCUGUUUGUGCUGGGUCACAGUGCAGUCGCUGCAGAUACCCACCAUUCACCAUGAGAUGGAACUCCCCAGUUUCAGAACUACUACAAGAGGGAGGAGGAUUCCUUUAGUGAUGGCCGCCAGGCCUAGUGGGAAGCUUCUGCCCUGGAUCUUCCUGAGCCUCUGCUAGGCCUCUGCAGAACAAAGAGUAACAGAAGUAGCAGCAGCCCUGAUGUACUAAGAUUCACCCUGGGCGCCUAGGGCUCCUUUCCUGACAUUUAAAUCGAUACUUUAGUUCGCAUUUGCGGCUGAGUAGGCGUGCACACGCUAGGAGUCAUCCCACAGCACUGACACAUGGAUGUGCAGCACCAUGGUGACACACUUGUGUCCUUGAAUCCUUAGAGUCUCUAGAGUGAUUAACACAGCCAAGCUCCAGCACUUGCAUCCUUACGGUGCAAAUCCCAGGCGUGGAAAGGCAGCUGCACUCCCAGGCAGUGGGACGUGGAGGUGCCCAGGAUGACCUGCCUCCCACACAGCCAGCUCUGAAUAACGUGAUCAGGCUUCUGAAAGGGUCUCUGCAAGUUUAAGAGCAAGUAAGGCUGAGAGCAGCUGUAGGGAGAAUGGCAAGAGGUCUAUUUCUCAGGGAGAUGAACCUCCUGCACAGGAAGGACAGGGUGCCCAGAGAUGCGGUCUUUGCCAAAGUACCAAAAAGAAGCAAUAGAAAGCUGUAAAUAAGUCUGCCAGUUCCACUAGCACAAACUGACAAAGCUAACACUACCUUACAAAGAACUGCUUUUCUGUUUGCGUUAAGCAACAACGCUGAAAAAAGCUCACUACUUACAGAGCAAGCAUUUAGCCCAUCUCACGAUUAUCAGUAGAGACAACAGUGGUCAAAAUAAAACCCAAUUAAGAAGAGAGCAGCUCUGGAUAUAAAUUCUGCAUUUCCUCCCAGAAAUACUACAUUCUCUACGCAGAGAAACAAGUUACGGCACGUAUCAAGCAACCAGGAAAAAUAAGAAUAAUCAGAGCAUGGAAAGCACCAACCAAGUUAAACAAAAGCAAAGAAUUUUCCACAUCCUGACAAAAGAGUAAAUAUUUAGAAGUCUAAUUAGCACUGACCGCCGUACAUGAAGCUUGCUAUUUCCCAAGGGCCUUGACAUUUUAGAUGCUGCAUGAACACCAAGAGAUCUUAGCUCUUGCAGAAGUAACUGUUGUUAAAAUCUCAAGCCCGCUUUGAGACACAAAGACUAUUUGCACAGCAUUAAAACAAUAGCUGGAACUGUCAGUCUGGGCUCGGUGAGAACAGAACAACUCAGAGGAAGCACACGAACCUGCCCAGUGAUGUACUGUGGAGGCUUUGGUGAAGCACUGCCCUGUCUUCCUCACAGCUGCAGCUGAGAUCAGCAAGCAGAGCAGGAGCUUCGCCUACCCCAAGGCAGCCACCUCUGACCCAGCUUUCUCCAUCUGACCUCAGAAAGGCACCUCUGCUACUCCUGACCAACAAAGCCUUCAAGUUUCCUGCAAACCCCGAGCACAACUCUUCCUUCAAGUCUUAUUCUAUUAACAUCUCCUACUGAAUCAUCUCUACAGGGUAAACUCACUGCCUUGCAGGCUGCAGCACAGCAUGGCUGGUGCCGGGCAGGCAAUGCACACUAACUUCUUUCCCUGGGUUGGAGAGGAACUUUCCAAAGGAUCUCCUUUGGACUGCAGCUCUCCACUGUCACAGGGGUCAGGAGGUGCAGUCUUACUGCUGUCAGUCUUCAAGAUCAGGGUCAGGGUGAGCUUUCUCAUUCUGCUUUGAGGUUAGAUGUUGUGGCCCCUGGAAGUAAUGACUGCUACCUGUGUUUGCCUGCAGUUUUCACAGGGGUUGCACUGCGUGAUCCAGAGAUCACCAGGAAGGUUCACUGACUUCAGAGCCUGUGUCAACACACCUCAAGGGAGAAACUGAUUCUUCACCUAAAUCUGGAAAAUGAAAAGACAAGAGAAGAAAGCUGCUGCUCCUAAGCCUGUGAGCCACAAAAAUAGCAGACCUGUGUCUAAAUCUAAUGUAGACACUGCAAAUACCAAGAGCUGUUGUAUUUAAGCGGUCUUCAUGACAAAGAGCUGCUUUAUGCACGGCACGACCCUGCUUACAUGCCUGCUCAGAGCCUGACAGGGCAUGAUAAGGGAGCAGCACUUGUCCAAAGAGCGAGAUCCAAUGUAAUUGCUCUCUUAGGAGAAGGCUGAAGGCAAGCCUCAGAGCCAGCCUCCUCAGACACUUGCAAACUACAGUGUCUUAGCAAUUAGUCAGUCUGAUCUGGCCUGAAAACAGUUGCUACUGCAUCAGCUCUGUGAAGGAAUGCACAACACAACGCCAAAGUGGCAGUGACUCGGAAUUAACCCAAUCUACCACUGUAAAACAUUCAGAAUUAAAAACAAAAGUUGGAAUCGGCGUUUCCGAUGGUUUUUCAAGUGUUGUCAAACGUCUCCGACAAGGAUCAGCAGCGCUGAGCAGAAAGCACUGAGCUACCUGUGGGUCCCACCAGCUGCAGAACAGCUCAUUAAAAAUGCAUCCAAGAAACAAUUUUCUCAUGCUGCAAGUCAAGUCUUAUUUAAACAGACUAAAAGCCAGACAGCUCAGGCACGACAGGGAACCAGGCAGCACAAGCAUCUCAGAACCUCCCAGGCUUUGUGCAGGACAACAGGCACUCAGCUCUGGGCUGGACUUGCCACCAGAAUACAAAGAGCUUCCCAUUUGCCCACAAAUCCUUCAUUCCUUGACCUGGGAGAAAGCUGUGGGGAGCUUAAGUGAUUGGCACUUGGAGCCAAACACAAGUUGUUAAACAGAGAGAAAUAAAAAGCUCUCUGAUGUUUGUUUCUCUCACAGUUUACGCUUUGCUUCCAUGUGAAAGAUACAGAAGAGGAUUGUCACCUUGUGCUCAGAGUCCAGCAAUGGAGCACACGAACCUACACACAUCCCACACAGGGUGUCUUUUCUCCCAGUUCCCCAACUCUUCAGAUUUUCUCCACCUGCUCACUGAACUCACUAUUCUAAAUGUCCAAGAACCCCAACUUGUGCUGAGGUUGGUCCUUCACUCCCUGGGUUUGCCUGAAGGGCUUUCUGCAACUUAGUUUUGUUUUGUUUUUUUAAGUGCAGCUCUACACUGCAGCAAAUACAACUCAGUCCCAACCUCACUAAUCACAACAACCCAACUGACAUAACCAUCUGACUCUUGUAACAAAACUCACGUCCCCCACCCAAUUUGCUGGCCCAAAUACCAAACAGAUUUCUAAUUCCAUCCCCUAAUUACAAGUAGCAUCUUUUUGGCUGCCUAAAACAAGUAAGUUUUUCAGUCCUACUACAUUUACACCCAGUACAAGAUCGAAAAGGUUCCAGAAGCAGCAGAGACUGGCUGAAGUGCUACACAAAGCAGGGCGCAAAACCCCAGCUAACAGACAUGAACUGCUUCCACAACGAUCCUGUUAAGGGCUGGAAAACUCACGCCACUCUGCCCAACACAAACACACCGAGACAACACCGAUGAAAACACCGCAACACCAUCCCCUUAUUGAUGCACGGCCAUCCCCCUCCUCGUGUCACUGCCAAAACAAAGAGAAUUAAUAGAAUGCUGCUUCCCAAGAGCCCCAUGGAACCAAACAAGAAGAGAUCUGUCACGUUCUGUUUUAUUAUUUAUAAUACCCCAAAUCUCUCUUGCAACCAGCCAUUGCAAAGGCAGUGACAAGAAGUGAAUAUGGAUGGGAAGCUUCAUAGACUUACAAGAAAUAAUGAAGAAAAAAGGAAAAACCCCACAAAUCUCAAAGAAAUGAGAACUCAGAACUUCAAAGCCAAGCCAAAAACGAAACCUGUCACAGUCAGGGCAGCGACAAAGGAGCUGCUGCCAUGUGCAAGGCAAUUACUCUAUCAGCAAACUCUGCUGAAGAGCAAAACUCCCUACAAAAAGAAUCACGUUGAGCAAUGGAGGCCCUCCCACAUGCCAAAUGAAGGAACUAAAUCCUUCCAAAGACAAUGUAAGCAAACGAGGGGAAAAAGCAAAGGAAACAGGACAAAAGGGACAUCCAAAAAUAUGCGUUGCAUUCCACUUAUAUUAAUAUACUUGCAUAAUUGCACACCUACCAGAGAUUUACAGUCAUUAUCACUGAAUGGUCAUUAUUAGCCUAAAAUGCAUUUAGAAGUUAUGUGGCUUGAGGAGAAAAAAAGCAAGUGCAAAGGGACACAUUUGCACUGCUGGCUUUGAACAAAUAGAACAGCACCAGUGCACAAUGAGAACUUGUCGUGGUACACACAGUGCUGUCACAUCUGGUAAUGGAAAUAAAAAAUACCACCUGGAGUUUGAUGUUCCUGGAGAUGUGAAGGGCUAUACCUGUGAAGGCCUAUACCAGACAAUGAAAAUCACUCUGAACUGACUUGUGCAAAAUGAUAUGCUUCAGCAGGGGCCUACGCCUAGAUUAAUAUGACAACGUUUUUUCCUAGGAUGUGCAGGUACACUGUAAUUCCCGUAUGCAGGAGCAAGCAUCCCAAAAGAUUCCUGGUCCAAAGCACUGAUGAUCAUACAAUCCCUUCAGCUGGAAAAGACCUUCAAGUUUAUCAAGUCCAAAACGAUCUAGCCCUCCACUCCCACAUUUCAGAAAGACAGAACUAAGACAGCUCUGCCAGCAUCCACCAGGAACAGGAGGGUGCUUGCAGUUCUUCUGCCAGCCAACCCCUGCAAGGCUUCACUUCAAGGAUUAAACUGACAGCUGUGAGAAUGCUGCAGUGAAGGAGCUGGUGCUUCACAUUACCGACCUUACAGGUGCAGGCACCCCAAACUGUUCCUGAAGAGUCAUUGCUACUUCCUGCAUUUCUUCUCACCACUUUUACUUUGUUGUUCAAAACAACUGUUACUCAGGUCUCUAAAAGCCACUGUCUGCUUCGCUUUGGAUGCUGAGAUUUGCAAGUUUCGUUGUUUCCCAUCCCAGACAAUCAGCACUGAGCAGCAAUCAGUUCCGAAAAAAACCACAGCCGAAGGAUGUGUGAGAGCACUUGCUCUGGCUUUAAACCAUCUCAUGAGAAUUUGUAUAGGAUCAGCUACCUCGCAGGGAAGACCCACCGUACGGUUCUCAGCUGUCAUUACAUUGGAGUGAAGUGAGGCUCUUUUCCAGAUAGUGCUGAUAAAUUCAUGCUCCUAUGAUGCAAGUCAAAUCACUCCCAUUUGGCUCAACCCUCUCACGGCUUUACACUCAUUUAUUCACAUCUCCAUCACCACUUCAGCACAACAAGUAUAAUUACAAGUAGGAAAACCGCAUCUUUUUGCAAAGGUGAUGGAGGGGAGAUUUCCACUUAAUCCUGCACAGAUUGAAGCAGAAAUUAGCUCCUUCACUCCACUAACAUAGAGCCUCAAAAUACUUAAGUCUUUUUUUUCCUCCCUUAAUUCCUCCUGCUGUUGCAAAACUACCAGCACGGACGUCGCUGGGAUAGAAAGCUCAGCCUCGUAGGUAAUAAGUUUUAUUGAGUUCUCGGAACCAUAUCAUCCGUCCACCAGACUUUUUAAUUUGCCACAUGAACGGUUCAGUGUCACACCAGCUCCUGGAGAACUGGGAUAGGCACGACGAGUUCAUGGCGAGUGCUUUCCUGAACCAAGCAGAAGUGCUCCCCAGAGUGCAUACAGAUUAAACCGGUCUUUUCACAGCAGUAUUUAGAUCACCUUUUAAUCACUUUAGAAGCAGGUGGCUAAUCUAUAUUCAGACAUUUUCUUGCGAACUUUACUUGCAUCUUGUUUCAUCACAAUGAAAGCAAAGAAAAUCUCCAUGGCUGACAUUCCGUGGUGGAAGAGGGGAAAAAAAACACUUCAAUAUUGGUGACUGAUACUGAUUGGGAACUUCACAUCACAGCCUUGUAAAAGCCACGCCACACUAGAAUGGAGAGCACUCCGGGCUGAGGGCCACAUCUUGUGUUUGGAGAACUCAAAACCAAAAGGUAACUACUGGUGAGUUAAACUCAGUCAGAAAGACAACAAAGCAAACCUCAGAACCCCCCGGGAUCAAACAGAUGUGAGCCCAUCCAAAAGCCUUCAGAUGUUUUAGUGUUUUGUUGCCUGCUUCUAUAAAACAAUACUGCACCACUGGGACAAGCUCCUGCUUAGUGCUCCACGUGUCCCUCAGCAAUGGAAGGGGUGCAGCAGGCAGUGGUACAUGGGGACAGCCAUCAGUGGCAGCUCUGACAAACUGCUGUACCUUCAGAAGUGACAAGUCCUGGGAGUGCACAUACACUGUAUUACUAAGAAAAGCCAGGCAUCCUCAGGCUUUGCUGACAUUUGAAAUCCUUGUCUGGUUUCAAAAGCCACUGCUUAACUUUGCUUUCCUGUUACCACUUUUUAUAGCCAAACGUUGAGUUUGAAACAAACAAAAAAGAAUGGCCAACCUGUCCUUCCCACCAUCAGUACGGGCACUCCAUCCCGAUACCCCCAGUAUCCAUCCCAGCAGCACCUGUUACUUAAAGCUGCUCCUCUUGUGCAAGGAGAUUCCUGAUCUCCCCCAUCCCAAUUAUCCUGAGAAAAAGGUUCUCACCUUUUUUUUCUAUCUGAAAGGGUUUUACAAGUUUAUAGAAAGCCACUUUAAUAUCUCAGCAUAAAACUCAGGAAAAGCAGCAGCUGACCGGACAUUUGUUAUCUUGAUUUUGCAGUAUUUUAAUUCUGUUCAGUGAGGAAAUUAUUUCAGCUCAAAUCAAUAAAGCCACAUUUAACUCAAAUUAAGGAGACGUACACAGAAUUUUAUAGCAAUCAGCUAGAGUGAUUUAAUAGAAAUUGAUACCGCUUUGGCAUGCACAUAACCCUGAAUUGGAAUACCUGUGUACCAACUGGAAUAUUUAUCUGGAAAGAAGGAUAAAUGCAGGAGUAUUAAUUCUAAACAGAUGACAGAAUUGUAAUUGGUUUUAUGGAGGAAAGAAAACAGCAAUUAAUUUCAACUUAAACUGAACAAAUACAGUGGGGCAAAAUAUUGACAAAGCUGAUGAUUCUGUUCCCCUGUGGAGAAUGCCAACUGGCACCCGGUUCAAAACUAAGAAAUAAAGAAAUCAACCAUGUGAAAGACUACGUUGUGCAUAACUGGAUCACAGGCAAGUUACUUUCCUCUGUAAGGAUACCUAAGGAGAAAGCUCUGCCGCAGUGAGGGAAAGCAACCACCUCCUGCUUGAGAACACAAGUAUAAAUGUGCUGGAUUCCCCUUUGUGGCACAGAACCAUGCCAUCUCACAGAGCGCAUCCGAGAGCGAGAUCUGGACAACUCAUCAGUCCUGUGUCCAACAGACACAGGAAGGCAAGGCUUGAGACACAAACCAUGAGAAUUCCACGCUGAGGCUUCCAGCAAGAACCAAGUGGGAUCAGGGAGCACACGAUGGGUCCUCUCCUUACAGCUAGCAACCUACUGCAGCAGUGCUGGCUUAGGACACGCUGGCCUGCAGCACAAUUCUGACGUCUCCAUUAGCCAGAUCAGCAUCCUGUAAGAGCAGUCCUGACGUGAGCUGGACAUAUCACAGAGCUCUUGCUUGCGGAUUCCCCCUGAAGCAAGGAUACCCACUGUACUUUGCUUUGGAAAGCACAUAACUACUCUUCUAAAAGACUACUGAGUUUAUAAAAUCACACGGUCAAAGCAAAAUGUCAGGUAAGAUUUCGUGAGCAACUUUAAUUGAGUUUCCUUGUGCUUUUGCAGUACUAUGUAGACUUAUAUAUUCCUGGACCACCUCCUUUCCCUAGCAGCUGUGUCUCAUUUACAGAGUGGAGAGCUGCUGUAUCUCUUAAUUGUAACUCCACACCGAGCUAUCUGAGCCUUAGCAAGUGCUAUCCACUCUCUCCACUGAAUCCAAAGCUGGCAAUUCCCUUCUGACAUGUUAUAGUGCUCUCCCGAGGUCUCUAAUUUGUGGUUAUUUAUUAUGUACACAUUUUCAGUUGAAACAUCUAUUGCACAGAAAAGGUUAGACAAAAAAGUCACACUUUGGCAAAUGUUAGCAGAGCAGAAAGCUUGACUUAACAUCAGAAGUGACAGACAGUCUACCCUGUAAAACUAUGAUCAGCUAUGAGUGAUUUUAAAAGAUCAGUAAGACUUGAGCUAUUAAACCACCCGAGGCAGAGUUUCAAAUUUUGCUGCAGAAGCACCCAGAGAUACUGCAGGACUCUCAGCUCCCAAACCCACACAGCUCACGGUGCCCACAUCCCACCAGCCGAAUCCCAAACGCACCCCAUGUGCUGUUUCCAGUCUACCCAGGGUCAGCAGCUCCCACGAUCACUCGGGGUUUGUUCUCCUCUUACUGCCUGGGUUGCAAAUAAUUUAUUUCUGCAGUCAGCAGUGUGGGAAAUCCUUUGAGGGCUACCAGGCUGCUCCUCAGGGAGGUGGUUAAAAAAAAAACCUGCUGU